Molecule: long non-coding RNA, 1346 nt
Organism: Oncorhynchus tshawytscha (Chinook salmon)
Lineage: Eukaryota; Metazoa; Chordata; Actinopteri; Salmoniformes; Salmonidae
Exons: 3
Source: RefSeq, a predicted model, not a curated record
CCUGUUAAACCAGAUGAAAAGACGCGUUGAGCAUAAGAAUGGUGAUAAUCCUCUGGUACGACUAAGAAAGAGAAAAACACUCAGGCUCAUUGACUGUAGUCAGUGCAAGAGGGCCAACUGACGAAUACGGCUGUGUAAGAUGGCAACCUGACUUUCCCACUGAAGAAACGGAAGAACCUUUGGCGGCAAAGCAUGAGAAAAUGAAGCAGUUUUAUUCCAAAGAAGGGCCUACAGGAGGUGACAGAGGACAACUCUCGCAGCUCAUGAAAGCAACAUUUGACUUACAGCGCAGUGCCAUUAACGCUAGCCCAGCACCUAAGGUAGCCGAGCUGAGGAGUGAGUCACUAAGACUGAUUGUUCAAGGGGACAUAACGACUGCUGCCAAAUGGGAUGACAGGCAUCGAGAAGGAGGUCGUGAUGACGGUCCACUCAAACUUUGUGGAAGCACCGGCAGCUUUUUUUUUUUUGCCUCAUUCUACACCUUCAAUCUGCAAUACCAAGAGAAGGCUUCACACACCCUAAAGUUCAUCCAAAGAUGUUUUGCUGGAAUCAAUGCAUCCACUGGCUCGAAGACCGCCACAGCAGAGGUCAUCAGCAACCCUUAUUAAAGCUUGAGCAUGUAGUUUUGGGAAGGGCCAAAUUAGAAAUCUGGGAAUAGGACAAAAUAUCCAUUGAUCUUUUCUGACCUUAAAUCUCACAAUUCUAAAGUCUAAUUACCCUUCCCAAAAAGACAUACUCUGUGUUUAACCUGGGAGUGAAGGUAAUGACAAACCUAAGAUAAGGCCAGGCAGAGAGCAGGCCUACUACCCCUCCAAGAUUUAAAAAAAAAAUGUUUAGCUCAAAGCGAGGCAAUGUGAUUUUUGAGUUACCUGUGUGUGAAAAUAUAUUUUUAUUUCAAAAGCUAAGAUAUGUACAGUAUACCAGUGCUUUUCUUAUCUGUAAUUAUAUCACUUUCUAUGGUGGAACAGUUGUAAACAUGCACCUUAUUCAGGACAUUGAUAUAUAUUUUUUAAUUGAUACACUUGAAACCUUUUUGUUGAAAAAAAUGGCUUUGCAUCUGAAUGCAGAAUAGCCUUGUGACAAACUAUCAAUAUUUUUUUAUGUCACAUACAAGCUAGAAUAUCAUACCAAUUCUGUUAAGAUGAACAAUUGUAUUUUGUCCUAAUGAAUCAUUUAAAAAUGUACACUUUUUGAUAGGUGCUGGGGGAAAGGUGUAGGUUUGUCGUUGAGGCAUUUAUGAUGCAGCACAUUUGGCUACGGUUUAUUGGCAUUUCCCACCUAGCAAUGGUGAAGUUGUACUAUGGCAGCUUAUUGAAAGUGUUUGUCACUUUUUUGGUUUGUUAACA